UGAUCAGGCAAUACAAGAAUAGCAAAG
Molecule: unclassified non-coding RNA, 27 nt
Filed under: Mus musculus (house mouse)
Lineage: Eukaryota; Metazoa; Chordata; Mammalia; Rodentia; Muridae
Description: oocyte_clustered_small_RNA2076
Source: RNAcentral